Molecule: ribosomal RNA, 446 nt
Filed under: Cardinium endosymbiont of Bemisia tabaci
Lineage: Bacteria; Pseudomonadati; Bacteroidota; Cytophagia; Cytophagales; Amoebophilaceae
Description: bacterial SSU rRNA
Rfam family: Bacterial small subunit ribosomal RNA
Source: RNAcentral
GCGGUGUAAAAUGAGCGUGCGUCCUAUUAGCUAGUUGGUGAGGCAAUGGCUCACCAAGGCUACGAUGGGUAGGGGUUCUUAGUGGAAGAUCCCCCACACUGGCACUGAGAUACGGGCCAGACUCCUACGGGAGGCAGCAGUAGGGAAUAUUGGUCAAUGGGCGAAAGCCUGAACCAGCCAUGCCGCGUGCAGGAUGACAGCUCUCUGAGUUGUAAACUGCUUUUGUACAGGAGCAAAACAAUCCCUGCGGGGGUUCUUGAGAGUACUGUAAGAAUAAGCACCGGCUAAUUCCGUGCCAGCAGCCGCGGUAAUACGGAAGGUGCAAGCGUUAUCCGGUUUUAUUGGGUUUAAAGGGUGCGUAGGCGGCUUAUUAAGUCAGUUGUGAAAUCCUAGUGCUUAACGCUAGAACUGCAAUUGAUACUAUUAGGCUUGAGUUAAGAAUAGGU